UACGUAGGGGGCAAGCGUUGUCCGGAUUUAUUGGGCGUAAAGAGCGUGUAGGCGGCUUUGCACGUCCGUUGUGAAAACUGGAGGCUUAACCUCCAGACGUCGAUGGAAACCGUAUGGCUAGAGUCCGGAAGAGGAGAGUGGAAUUCCUGGUGUAGCGGUGAAAUGCGCAGAUAUCAGGAAGAACACCCGUGGCGAAGGCGGCUCUCUGGGACGGUACUGACGCUGAGACGCGAAAGCGUGGGGAGCGAACAGG
RNAcentral lists this ribosomal RNA (253 nucleotides) under uncultured bacterium. RNAcentral describes it as "partial 16S ribosomal RNA". It matches the Rfam family "Bacterial small subunit ribosomal RNA", at positions 524 to 776 of the family's 1533-position model. The record is from RNAcentral.